This 548-nucleotide ribosomal RNA is filed under the name uncultured bacterium. RNAcentral's name for it is "partial 16S ribosomal RNA". It matches the Rfam family "Bacterial small subunit ribosomal RNA", at positions 355 to 895 of the family's 1533-position model. The record is from RNAcentral.
UGGGGAAUUUUGGACAAUGGGCGAAAGCCUGAUCCAGCAAUGCCGCGUGUGUGAAGAAGGCCUUCGGGUUGUAAAGCACUUUUGUCCGGAAAGAAAUCCUUGGCUCUAAUACAGUCGGGGGAUGACGGUACCGGAAGAAUAAGCACCGGCUAACUACGUGCCAGCAGCCGCGGUAAUACGUAGGGUGCAAGCGUUAAUCGGAAUUACUGGGCGUAAAGCGUGCGCAGGCGGUUUGCUAAGACCGAUGUGAAAUCCCCGGGCUCAACCUGGGAACUGCAUUGGUGACUGGCAGGCUAGAGUAUGGCAGAGGGGGGUAGAAUUCCACGUGUAGCAGUGAAAUGCGUAGAGAUGUGGAGGAAUACGAUGGCGAAGGCAGCCCCCUGGGCCAAUACUGACGCUCAUGCACGAAAGCGUGGGGAGCAAAACAGGAUUAGAUACCCUGGUAGUCCACGCCCUAAAACGAUGUCAACUAGUUGUUGGGGAUUCAUUUCCUUAGUAACGUAGCUAACGCGUGAAGUUGACCGCCUGGGGAGUACGGUCGCAAGAUU